AGAGUUUGAUCCUGGCUCAGAACGAACGUUAGCGGCGCGCUUAACACAUGCAAGUCGAGCGAGAAAGGGCUUCGGCCCCGGUAAAGCGGCGCACGGGUGAGUAACACGUAGGUAAUCUGCCUCUUGGCGGUGGAUAACCCUUCGAAAGGAGGGCUAAUACAGCAUAAGACCACGCGCUCGAAAGAGCGUGGGGUAAAAGCCGGCCUCUUCAAGAAAGCUGGCACCGAGAGAUGAGCCUGCGGCCCAUCAGGUAGUUGGUAGGGUAACGGCCUACCAAGCCGAAGACGGGUAGCUGGUCUGAGAGGAUGAUCAGCCACACUGGAACUGAGACACGGUCCAGACUCCUACGGGAGGCAGCAGUGGGGAAUCUUGCGCAAUGGGCGAAAGCCUGACGCAGCGACGCCGCGUGAGUGAUGAAGGCCUUCGGGUUGUAAAGCUCUGUGGAGGGGGACGAAUAAGGGCCGUCGAAUAGGCGUCCCGAUGACGGUACCCCUUUAGCAAGCACCGGCUAACUCUGUGCCAGCAGCCGCGGUAAGACAGAGGGUGCAAACGUUGUUCGGAAUUACUGGGCGUAAAGCGCGUGUAGGCGGCUCGGCAAGUCGGGUGUGAAAGCCCUGGGCUUAACCUAGGAAGUGCACUCGAAACUGCCAAGCUUGAGUUCUGGAGAGGAAGGCGGAAUUCUCGGUGUAGAGGUGAAAUUCGUAGAUAUCGAGAGGAACACCGGUGGCGAAGGCGGCCUUCUGGACAGCAACUGACGCUGAGACGCGAAAGCGUGGGGAGCAAACAGGAUUAGAUACCCUAGUAGUCC
RNAcentral lists this ribosomal RNA (808 nucleotides) under uncultured bacterium. RNAcentral describes it as "bacterial SSU rRNA". It matches the Rfam family "Bacterial small subunit ribosomal RNA", at positions 8 to 796 of the family's 1533-position model. The record is from RNAcentral.